AGACAGAUGGAAAAUUAGAGCAAAUAUUUGCUAAGCUUAUCAUGAAGUAGAUGAAGAGCCACAGUAAAGAGAAAGGAAUAAUGGGAUCUGCAGUUUACUGUCUACACCGCUUUGGACAAGCUAACUCAUCCUUGCCUUGUGUAAAAUGUGGAGACUGGAUGAGACGACGUCAUAGGAUCCCAGGUUUGACAGAUGAAGACUCUAAGACCCAGAGGGGGGGAGGCACUUGCAAAGAAUAAGUGGCUGAUAAGUGGGAACAGCUUACCCUCACUGUCAGAUGGAUUGCUGAAUGGGGAAAUGCCCUAAGAAAGGUAACUUUCUGGACCUGCUGCAAAACUCUUGAGGCUCAAUUCUGGUUACAACCUGAGAGAUGGUCUGGUCCUCAUGAAAUUUAAAAGAGAAAAGAAAAAAGGGUCUAAAAGAAGGCCUUCAGCAUAGUGGGCAUAUCUUUUAUGGAUUUAUAGAAGCCUGUGGGGAUAAGGCCACAAAGGAGGAGAAGGUUUGGAUGGGUUGCAUUCUAGACCAAUGUAAUGAAUAUCCAUAUUAAUGAAAGCACAGAUCCCUUGAAAUAUAACCUAGUAGUGGUUUGCAAAAAGGAUUGAGGAGAAGAAAACAAAUUAGGAGGCCAUGGUAAUCUUGUCAUGUAGGGGAAUUUUAGCUCCACGCUCUAAGAAAUGCAAGAAAGGAAGGGAUCGUUUUGGGUUGAGUGAUCAGGGAAUGAAUUAUGGAUGAAUUGGCACAUGUUCUGGAUUCUGAAGGGGCUUAUCUGUGGAUUUUUACAGCUAGAGAUGUAGGAAUGGAGCAAGAGCAUUCCAAACAAAACAAGAGUACACAGUGAAAAGGGAUACAAGGCAAGAUUGUUGAGGAAAUAUUUAUGGGUAUGUAGGGUUCCUUGAUCAGGCAUCAUAGGAGAUAAAGAUGGAAAGGUAGGUUUAGUUGGCAAUGAGGAGCAAUUGAAGGUUUUUUAAUAGGGAAUGCAUAAUAAGCAGCACUGUCCUCACUCCAAAUCACAUUUCUCCCCUUCAUAUCAAACUCGACACUAUAGUAUCCUUAUUUAUAGGACCCCUCCCAUUUUUCAGCCUCCCACCCCACCCCAACUUCCUUCUUCUUAAUUUCUCAACUAUAGGAUAGGGAGCAUCACUAUCCUCCCAAUCACCCAGACUCUUAAUCUAGGUUUCAUCCUUGUCUCCUUACUCUCUUAUCCCCUCCCCACAUGUAGCCAGUCUGUUGCAGUUUUAGAAUGAAUUGUAUUAGGUCAUUUAACAAAGGAGAGAGCCAGAAAAAGUAUGUCUGCCUAGCUUAAUGAAGUAGUGAAAAUUAAAAGAAAAAUAUUAAAUGCUGUUUUGUGGAGCCAUCUGCCUCUAGUCAUCUCCUUUCUCAAGUCUCAGUAGUGUCUCAGCAAGACCCUGGAUUCAAUAAAUAUCAGCCCUCCCUAAGGGAACUGGAGAUC
Molecule: long non-coding RNA, 1450 nt
Filed under: Monodelphis domestica (gray short-tailed opossum)
Lineage: Eukaryota; Metazoa; Chordata; Mammalia; Didelphimorphia; Didelphidae
Description: lncRNA (ENSMODG00000043489.1)
Source: RNAcentral